GAUGAAGAACGCAGCGAAAUGCGAUAAGUAGUGUGAAUUGCAGAAUUCAGUGAGUCAUCGAAUCUUUGAACGCACAUUGCGCCCCUUGGUAUUCCAUGGGGCAUGCCUGUUCGAGCGUCAUUUGUACCUUCAAGCUUUGCUUGGUGUUGGGUGUUUGUCUCGCCUUUGCGUGUAGACUCGCCUUAAAAUAAUUGGCAGCCGGCGUAUUGAUUUCGGAGCGCAGUACAUCUCGCGCUUUGCACUCAUAACGACAGCGUCCAAAAGUACAUUUUACACUCUUGACCUCGGAUCAGGUAGGGAUACCCGCUGAACUUAAGCAUAUCAAUAAGCGGAGGA
RNAcentral lists this unclassified non-coding RNA (336 nucleotides) under soil metagenome. Its description in RNAcentral is "partial contains 5.8S ribosomal RNA, internal transcribed spacer 2, and large subunit ribosomal RNA". The stretch from base 1 to 120 matches the Rfam family "5.8S ribosomal RNA", at positions 35 to 154 of the family's 154-position model. The record is from RNAcentral.